This 57-nucleotide transfer RNA is filed under the name Telmatherina bonti. RNAcentral describes it as "tRNA-Val". Lineage: Eukaryota; Metazoa; Chordata; Actinopteri; Atheriniformes; Telmatherinidae. The record is from RNAcentral.
ACCGGAAGGUGCACUUGGUAAACUCAGGGCUUAGCUAAGCACAGAUAUAGCGUCUCC